AAUCGAAUAAUCACGUAGUAUCCGAUCUACGUAGAUAUAACUCUCUCUCUUUUUUGUUUAAUUGUAUUUCAAUAACAUAGAAAAUCACUUACUCUUUUCUUUUCAGAAAAUCUCAGUUUUCUUCGAAGUCGCUAAUUUUUGUUUUGGUUUAACAUGUAGACGUAGUGGGCAGCGACGUAGGGAGAGAGAAGAAAGACACGUGGAGGUGAGUGGUAUGAUUUGGAGACCGCUCCUACUUGGGCAUGAUGUGAUCAGAAAAAGAGCCCCACGAACGUUUUCAUCUCAUUAAAACUAUAAUCAAUCUCUCUGGGAACUUGGGCCAUUCCCUCCAACAACUAACACCAUCGACACAUACUUUUUGCUGAGUUAUUUUGUUUAUAUAUUAAUUAUGAUUAUCAAUGUAUUAAUCUUUUGAUUAUGUUUGUCAAGAUAUUUUUUUUUGUGUGCAAAGUUUGUCAAAAUAUUUGAGUCACCACUUUUAUUGUGGAUCUUCACAAGUUCGCAUACUAUCCCACUUAUCAUUAAAACUAACGGAAACUUUUGUAGUAAUAGAUUAUC
Molecule: long non-coding RNA, 558 nt
Organism: Arabidopsis thaliana (thale cress)
Lineage: Eukaryota; Viridiplantae; Streptophyta; Magnoliopsida; Brassicales; Brassicaceae
Product: other RNA
Exons: 1
Source: RefSeq